Molecule: ribosomal RNA, 442 nt
Filed under: uncultured bacterium
Lineage: Bacteria
Description: partial 16S ribosomal RNA
Rfam family: Bacterial small subunit ribosomal RNA
Source: RNAcentral
CCUACGGGAGGCAGCAGUAGGGAAUCUUUCACAAUGGGCGAAAGCCUGAUGGAGCAACGCCGCGUGCAGGAUGAAGGCCUUCGGGUUGGAAACUGCUUUUAUAAGCGAGAAAUAUGAUGGUAACUUAUGAAUAAGGAUCGGCUAACUACGUACCAGCAGCCGCGGUCAUACGUAGGAUCCGAGCAUUAUCCGGAGUGACUGGGUGUAAAGAGUUGCGUAGGUGGCAUAAUAAGUAGCUAGUGAAAUCUGGUGGUUCAACCAUUCAGACUAUUAGCUAAACUGUUAAGCUCGAGACCGUUAGUGGUAACUGGAAUUUCUAGUGUAGGAGUGAAAGCCGUAGAUAUUAGAAGGAACACCAAUAGCGUAGGCAGGUUACUGGGACGGUUCUGACACUAAGGCACGAAAGCGUAGGGAGCAAACGGGAUUAGAUACCCUUGUAGUC